RNAcentral lists this ribosomal RNA (301 nucleotides) under uncultured bacterium. RNAcentral describes it as "partial 16S ribosomal RNA". It matches the Rfam family "Bacterial small subunit ribosomal RNA", at positions 509 to 809 of the family's 1533-position model. The record is from RNAcentral.
CAGCAGCCGCGGUAAAACGGAGGGUGCAAGCGUUAAUCGGAAUUACUGGGCGUAAAGCGCACGCAGGCGGUCUGACAAGUCAGAUGUGAAAUCCCCGGGCUUAACCUGGGAACUGCAUUUGAAACUGUCAGGCUGGAGUCUUGUAGAGGGGGGUGGAAUUCCAGGUGUAGCGGUGAAAUGCGUAGAGAUCUGGAGGAAUACCGGUGGCGAAGGCAAUCCCCUGGGCCUGUACUGACGCUCAUGCACGAAAGCGUGGGGAGCAAACAGGAUUAGAUACCCGGGUAGUCCCUGUCUCUUAUAA